Long non-coding RNA from Armigeres subalbatus, 1368 nucleotides. RefSeq lists it as uncharacterized. NCBI's taxonomy places the organism in Eukaryota, Metazoa, Arthropoda, Insecta, Diptera, Culicidae. The transcript has 3 exons. The record is from RefSeq and is a predicted model, not a curated record.
UGCCCCGUGGAAUUACACAACUUUUUGUUUCCUGGGCCAGUCUAAUGUGCAGUAGCGCAUAUCGACGUCAUCGUCGCACGCAAUCUUCCUCGGCCUGCCGGGAUCGACGUCAUCGGUAGCAUCGUCGGAUGAUGCCAGCGUUCAGACGCGUCCACUGCGUAAUCUCGUGUCCUACUUGAAGCAGAAAGAAGCGGCCGGCGUUAUUUCCUUACUCAAUAAGGAAACGGAAGCAACCGGUGUGCUCUACUCAUUCCCGCCAAGCGAUUUUUCGACAGAAUUGUUGAAACGAACAUGUCAAAACCUCACCGAGGAGGGACUGAAGGAAGACCAUCUGAUAAUCGUGGUGGUCCGAGGAGGAACCGCCUGAGUUGCGGAUGAGGGCGCAGAUAACACAUAAGCGUCUAUCUACGGUAGUUUAUUGUUUUUGCCAUUUGAUAUAGGAGUGAUCGGGGCAAUAUGGGCCACCUAAGGAAAUCGUUCCGAAAAGCGCUGAAAAGCUCAACAAAUCAUCAUCAGUUGGAAGAUGUGCAGAAGCGCAUAUCGACGUCAUCGUCGCACGCAAUCUUCCUCGGCCUGCCGGGAUCGACGUCAUCGGUAGCAUCGUCGGAUGAUGCCAGCGCUCAGACGCGUCCACUGCGUAAUCUCGUGUCCUACCUGAAGCAGAAAGAAGCGGCCGGCGUUAUAUCCUUACUCAAUAAGGAAACGGAAGCAACCGGUGUGCUCUACUCAUUCCCGCCAUGCGAUUUUUCGACAGAAUUGUUGAAACGAACAUGUCACAACCUCACCGAGGAGGGACUGAAGGAAGACCAUCUGGUAAUCGUGGUGGUCCGAGGAGGAACCGCCUGAGUUGCGGAUGAGGGCGCAGAUAACACAUAAGGUCAAUAAUUGCUGGUGAUGACGAGGCUUCAACGCUGGCGUUUGCCCUAAAGACAGCAUUGCCAGCGGACGUUAAUGUAGCUGCUCCAUAGCAUUAAUCGCAUCUCUUGAUCUCCAACCGGGUUCUCGAGUGCUGCGAUUCCUGAUUGGGCUUGAAUUACGGUGAUAGUCGUCCUUGUUGGUAGUAUCUUGGAUCGGACCCGAUGAUCUUGAGAAGCUUGACCAGAUCACGCAGCAGAUUUCGGAUUCGAUUCGCGGUUACUCAACUGGGAUUACUGAUCCACAUCUACGUCAACUAGCUGGAUUGGCAGGUUAUGAGUGAGUGCAACAACUUUUCGGUAGUGACUUUGGUUUUGGUUCCGUGUUGAGGCACAAGAAAGUUCAAGUUCCGGAGGAAAUGGGCCACGCGCAACUCAUGUGGAUAAGGAACGUGCGCGCCUGGAGACCGCCUGUCCAGCUGUUUUCACGUACGGCCACAAUUCCUUCCUUGAC